UACGUAGGGCGCAAGCGUUAUCCGGAAUUAUUGGGCGUAAAGAGCUCGUAGGCGGUCUGUCGCGUCGGAUGUGAAAAUCCAGGGCUCAACCCUGGACCUGCAUUCGAUACGGGCAGACUAGAGUUCGGUAGGGGAGACUGGAAUUCCUGGUGUAGCGGUGAAAUGCGCAGAUAUCAGGAGGAACACCGGUGGCGAAGGCGGGUCUCUGGGCCGAAACUGACGCUGAGGCGCGAAAGCUAGGGGAGCGAACGGG
This 253-nucleotide ribosomal RNA is filed under the name uncultured bacterium. RNAcentral describes it as "partial 16S ribosomal RNA". It matches the Rfam family "Bacterial small subunit ribosomal RNA", at positions 524 to 776 of the family's 1533-position model. The record is from RNAcentral.